CUACGGGCCGCUGCAGUGGGGAAUUUUGGACAAUGGGCGAAAGCCUGAUCCAGCCAUUCCGCGUGAGUGAUGAAGGCCUUCGGGUUGUAAAGCUCUUUCGGCCGGGAAGAAAUCGUGCAGGCUAAUAUCCUGCAUGGAUGACGGUACCGGAUCAAGAAGCACCGGCUAACUACGUGCCAGCAGCCGCGGUAAUACGUAGGGUGCGAGCGUUAAUCGGAAUUACUGGGCGUAAAGCGUGCGCAGGCGGAUGUUUAAGCCAGAUGUGAAAUCCCCGGGCUUAACCUAGGAAUGGCAUUUGGAACUGGACAUCUAGAGUGUGUCAGAGGGGGGUGGAAUUCCACGUGUAGCAGUGAAAUGCGUAGAGAUGUGGAGGAACACCGAUGGCGAAGGCAGCCCCCUGGGUAACACUGACGCUCAUGCACGAAAGCGUGGGGAGCAAACAGGAUUAGAUACCCGCGUAGUC
This 463-nucleotide ribosomal RNA is filed under the name uncultured bacterium. RNAcentral describes it as "partial 16S ribosomal RNA". It matches the Rfam family "Bacterial small subunit ribosomal RNA", at positions 339 to 795 of the family's 1533-position model. The record is from RNAcentral.